CACAACUUCAGCACAGAAGGAAGCAAAGGGGGAAAGGGUGUCAUUCUGCAUACCCCUGUGGUCUCCUGUUUUUCAGAAAGAACACCGACUGAGCUGAAAGAGGCCACCCCAGAGGCUCAGGUAGCCAGGCUUAUCAGAAUGCACUUAUUAUUUGAGUUAGGAAUGCACAGCCUCUGCUUAAGCCCAGAGCAGCAACUGUAUCUCCCAGCCAUACCAUGGAGCUCAGCCCAGGUCCAAUAAGAGGACAAGGAAACAAUGGCAAAUUGGGGUUUCUCUUCUUGGGUUACAAAAUCUACACAGGUCAAUGUACAUCUCCUGGCGGCAGCAGCGGGCACCCUCUGUCACCGGUGCCUUAGGAUCACAGUUUCCCUGAGCUCUGCGGGGGGGCAAAGAGAGGC
Molecule: long non-coding RNA, 398 nt
Organism: Cervus elaphus (red deer)
Lineage: Eukaryota; Metazoa; Chordata; Mammalia; Artiodactyla; Cervidae
Exons: 3
Source: RefSeq, a predicted model, not a curated record